Schistocerca gregaria is the source of this 612-nucleotide long non-coding RNA. RefSeq lists it as uncharacterized. The transcript has 2 exons. NCBI's taxonomy places the organism in Eukaryota, Metazoa, Arthropoda, Insecta, Orthoptera, Acrididae. The record is from RefSeq and is a predicted model, not a curated record.
AGUAUUCUAUGGUCGAAGGCUAAACUUCGAUAUAUUUUGGUAAUACAAAUUUGCGUGGCAAAUUUGAUUUUGUUUCGGUAUGUCUUGAGGCGGUUCUGACUGCUGAUCGGAAGUGAAACGCAAUGAAGUAAAAUACCAAACAAAAGAUGGCAUUGAAAAGUACCUGUAUUUGUCUGUAGCAGUCAACUAAUAAAAUGUGAAACGGCGUAUUUAACACAAAACUUGUAUUCGUAUGUUUUAUUUGUAAUUCUUAGUCAUUUCGAAGUUGAGUGGGUAGUCAUAAUAUUUCUGUAAGAUUAAAUUUUAUUUUACUUCCAUAGGUUGCAUUAUAUCAUACUAUUCAAAAUAUCAGUUUCAUCGAAGUUAAUGAAGGAAUUGCCAGCAGUGCAUUAGACAUACUCAGGUUGUGACUGUAAGACGUUUCAUUAAAUAAGGAAUACGGAACUAUUAUGUUUGGGAAACUAAUUGCAGUCAAGUGUAUCAGAUGACCCAAACCUCAGCAUAAUUUCCCUAUCAUGUUUGGAAGAAAAGUAGAGUUUUCAGAAGUGUUUUGUGUAAAAUAGCAGUAAACUGAAGCUGUCAUCAUAGUAAUUAAAGGAAUAUUAACUUGGA